CUAACCCAUGUGCAUGGCUCAUCAAUCACUUUACCAAAAUUUCCCUGCUUUGCUUAGAUUAGCCAAACCCUUGCCUUUCGUUGCCCUUCUUGUGCCGUGACUAGACAAACAGCUGAAGCUUCCUUUGUUGUGUUGUGCCGAUUGAAGCUUUGCUCUCGAAACUCUUCACUACCUCUGCAGUUCCAAUCUACUGCUUUAAAGCUUAAGGCACUAUACAAUUGUCAACUCAACACAACAUGUGUGUGGGUGGGGAAUAUGUAUCUAACAUGGAACUUACUGCAUGGACUUGGCUUCUUUGAAUCUUGUUGCCUCUCACUCAAGUUAAUGUUCGUCCUAAAGCAGUAGAUCCUCCAAAAUUGCUCAAGAAAAAAUGGAGAAGAAACGAAAGGAGUAAUGCAUUAUGUUUGAGAUUUAUAGAUGAGAGAAUAAGGUAGAGAGGAGAAGUAAAGAUAAAUGAUAUAGAUGGCUGAUCUGACCCAUUGACUUGGUUGAGUAUUUGUGACAGUAAAUCUUUAUAACUUAAUUGUUAUAUUUAGUUUUCUGAUGGGUUUGGGUUAAUAAGGCUA
This is a non-coding RNA of Theobroma cacao (cacao), 566 nucleotides long. The record is from RefSeq and is a predicted model, not a curated record. NCBI's taxonomy places the organism in Eukaryota, Viridiplantae, Streptophyta, Magnoliopsida, Malvales, Malvaceae.